Molecule: ribosomal RNA, 216 nt
Filed under: Glomeromycotina sp.
Lineage: Eukaryota; Fungi; Glomeromycota
Description: partial small subunit ribosomal RNA
Rfam family: Eukaryotic small subunit ribosomal RNA (bases 40-216)
Source: RNAcentral
GGGUCAGUAGGUUGGUCGUGCCACCGGUACGUACUGGUCUCACUGAUUCCUCCUUCCUGAAGAACCGUAAUGCCAUUAAUUUGGUGUUGCGGGGAAACAGGACUGUUACUUUGAAAAAAUUAUAGUGUUUAAAGCAAGCUAACGCUUGAAUACAUUAGCAUGUAAUAAUGAAUUAGGACGAUCGAUCCUAUUUUGUUGGUUUCUAGGAUUGACGUA